UCAUUUUAAUUCAAAUGUCCUGGACAGUUUGACCCGGAAGUCUAGGGUUGUGGAGAAGAUUCAUUUGGCUCACAUCUGGGUUAACUUACACAGACAUACACCUGCGUUUCCUCUCCCAGCCAGCCAGUGCCUUCCAGGGGUGUGGAGGAACCAGGUGUCUCUGGCAGCCCACCACUUGGAGGCUGCCCAGUAGCUUUGCCGUCUUAGCAUUUUGUGGGGGUGUAUCAUUUAAUACCGUGAAAAGCCUGUUGUAUGGCCUACAUGGUAUGGUUGAAAUUUUUAAAUGAGGAAAGUGGGGCUAAGAGAAUUGGCUGCACCCCCAGAGUCAUGCAUCUGGUGUCAUAGCUGGUGGAGCCUGUUCUGACACCAGCAGGUGUCACGCAGUUCAACCCCGUGCUGACAUGAUACUGGAGUCGCGGCAGGCAGAGCCACCCACAGCCUCUCCUGGCAUCCCCUGCCUGAGCAGACCAGCCUCCCGAGGCUGGUAUUAAGCAUCAAGGCUCUCCUUUUCACUGCAGUCUACCUUUCCAUUUGUAUUUCUUACUGCCCUUCACAUCCCCUUCAUGCAGCAGGCUGAGUGGACCAUUUGCAUCUACACUUGCCUCCGUUUACCUAGGACUUAUAACAGAAUAUUCACAUACUUAGCCCACCUGACAUCCAUGACCCAGACCACCGGACAUCUGGAAGAUUAUCAUCUCAGGUCAAUCUAGAAGCCAAGAAUGCAUGACUGAAUCUUUUUAAUAAUGUAAUUUUUCCUGUAAGAACUCUUAUUUUUCUUUCUUUUUUGAAACACUCAGGAUAUUGCCUAGUUGUGUUUCCAUUUUGCAAGCCCUAAGACCCUUGAGUAAAAAUCUUUAUUUAUUUCUAA
Myotis brandtii (Brandt's bat) is the source of this 868-nucleotide long non-coding RNA. RefSeq lists it as uncharacterized. The transcript is spliced from 3 exons. NCBI's taxonomy places the organism in Eukaryota, Metazoa, Chordata, Mammalia, Chiroptera, Vespertilionidae. The record is from RefSeq and is a predicted model, not a curated record.